This 401-nucleotide transfer-messenger RNA is filed under the name Candidatus Saccharimonadota bacterium. It matches the Rfam family "transfer-messenger RNA". Rfam says of the family: Bacterial tmRNA, also known as 10Sa RNA or SsrA, is named for its dual tRNA and mRNA-like properties. Lineage: Bacteria; Candidatus Saccharimonadota. The record is from RNAcentral.
GGGGCUGAUAUAGCGUUCGACGUUUGGACUUUGUCAUUGUAUUCUGCGAAUCGGAUAUGCACGACACGCAUAGAUAUAACUGCAAAAAAUAAAGUUGCAGCAGCAUUCCGCAGUGUUGAGGAGAUCUUCGCAUCUUCCAAGACCGCGUUUGCACUCGCCGCUUAGUCUGGCGAUCGCUAUGAGGUGCAUGGCAACAGGGCAUCUCGUAGUGUCAUAGCUAUGUUGCUUGCUCUCCUGGUGGCAGCGGCACGAGGAGAGGACAUAUACCGCGCAACGAUAGGCUGUAUUUUUGGUUUGUUUCUGAUCGGCCUCGCGUUGUCAAACACGCAAACAAACCUACGUUCGUAGACGAAUACGAGGGCACCAAGCGGACCCGGGGGCAGUACCCGGCAGCUCCACCA